Etheostoma spectabile (orangethroat darter) is the source of this 393-nucleotide long non-coding RNA. RefSeq lists it as uncharacterized. The record is from RefSeq and is a predicted model, not a curated record. Lineage: Eukaryota; Metazoa; Chordata; Actinopteri; Perciformes; Percidae. The transcript has 3 exons.
AGAGCUGUCUUGAUCAACUAAUUGAUGGCUUGUCCCACUAUGGAGUUUUAUCACUCUUGAGAGAGAACCCCAGCUUGCGUGUGCUGCUUGACAUACCAGGAGAGGACAAAGGUCAAGAAGCUGAUUUUGUAGCUGGUAUUCUCAAACCAAGCUACUCUGCACUGGGGAGCAACAGAAGAGCUAAAGAGGAGUUGAUGAUGGUCAAAUUUAGGGAGUUUCUACAAUGUGUUGAAAGUAAAGAGCUGAGAGACACAUAUGGGGACAGGACUCUAACAAACGAUGAGGAGGCAUUCCUGAAGACUUUGAGCCCUGGUCACAUCCUGGCAUUUGCUACAGGGAGCAGCAAAGUCCCAGCCAUUGGUUUUCAUCCAACUCCUAAGUUAAUAUGUAUUC